RNAcentral lists this ribosomal RNA (440 nucleotides) under uncultured bacterium. Its description in RNAcentral is "partial 16S ribosomal RNA". It matches the Rfam family "Bacterial small subunit ribosomal RNA", at positions 338 to 795 of the family's 1533-position model. The record is from RNAcentral.
CCUACGGGAUGCAGCAGUGGGGAAUAUUGCACAAUGGGGGAAACCCUGAAGCAGCCACGCCGCGUGAGUGACGGUGUACUUCGGUAUGUAAAGCUCUAUCAUCCGGGACGAAUAUGCUGCUCCCUUACUCAGAAGCGCCUGCUAACUACGUGACCGCAGCCGCGGUCAUACCUAGCGGGCACGCGUUAUCCGGAUUUACUGGGGUUAUAGGGAGCUUAGUCGGGUAGACAAGUCAGAAGUGAAAGCCCAGGUCGCAACCCUGGGACUGCCUUUGAAACUGCCGGGCUGGAGUGCCGGAGAGGUAAGCGGAAUGCCUAGUGUAGCGGUGAAAUGCGUAGAUAUUAGGAGGAACACCAGUGGCGAAGGCGGCUUACUGGACUGUAACUGACGUUGAGGCACGAAAGCGUGGGGAGCAAACAGGAUUAGAUACCCUUGUAGUC